AGAAACAUAAACAAUUGAUUGCUUUGUAAAAAGUUAGAAGCUUUAUUUUUCUGUUUCUUU
This 60-nucleotide transfer RNA is filed under the name Conderis sp. UPOL A00603. RNAcentral's name for it is "partial tRNA-Ser". The record is from RNAcentral. Lineage: Eukaryota; Metazoa; Arthropoda; Insecta; Coleoptera; Lycidae.